UACGUAGGGCGCAAGCGUUGUCCGGAAUUAUUGGGCGUAAAGAGCUCGUAGGCGGCCAGUUGCGUCUGCUGUGAAAUCCCGGGGCUCAACCCCGGGCGUGCAGUGGAUACGGGCUGGCUAGAGGCAGGCAGGGGAGAACGGAAUUCCCGGUGUAGCGGUGAAAUGCGCAGAUAUCGGGAGGGACACCGGUGGCGAAGGCGGUUCUCUGGGCCUGUACUGACGCUGAGGAGCGAAAGCGUGGGGAGCGAACAGG
RNAcentral lists this ribosomal RNA (253 nucleotides) under uncultured bacterium. Its description in RNAcentral is "partial 16S ribosomal RNA". It matches the Rfam family "Bacterial small subunit ribosomal RNA", at positions 524 to 776 of the family's 1533-position model. The record is from RNAcentral.